UGGGGAAUUUUGGACAAUGGGCGAAAGCCUGAUCCAGCAAUGCCGCGUGUGUGAAGAAGGCCUUCGGGUUGUAAAGCACUUUUGUCCGGAAAGAAAUCCUUGGCUCUAAUACAGUCGGGGGAUGACGGUACCGGAAGAAUAAGCACCGGCUAACUACGUGCCAGCAGCCGCGGUAAUACGUAGGGUGCAAGCGUUAAUCGGAAUUACUGGGCGUAAAGCGUGCGCAGGCGGUUUGCUAAGACCGAUGUGAAAUCCCCGGGCUCAACCUGGGAACUGCAUUGGUGACUGGCAGGCUAGAGUAUGGCAGAGGGGGGUAGAAUUCCACGUGUAGCAGUGAAAUGCGUAGAGAUGUGGAGGAAUACCGAUGGCGAAGGCAGCCCCCUGGGCCAAAUACUGACGCUCAUGCACGAAAGCGUGGGGGAGCAAACAGGAUUAGAUACCCCUGGUAGUCCACGCCCUAAACGAUGUCAACUAGUUGUUGGGGAUCAUUUCCUUAGUAACGUAGCUAACGCGUGAAGUUGACCGCCUGGGGAGUACGGUCGCAAGAUUAAAACUUAAAUGAAUUGACGGGGUCAUAGCUGUUUCCU
This 587-nucleotide ribosomal RNA is filed under the name uncultured bacterium. RNAcentral describes it as "partial 16S ribosomal RNA". It matches the Rfam family "Bacterial small subunit ribosomal RNA", at positions 355 to 1375 of the family's 1533-position model. The record is from RNAcentral.